GAGUAAAGCGGCGNAUCGGUGAGUAAGCAGUGAGUGAUCUACCUUCUAGUGUGGGAUAACCCUGGGAAACCGGUGACAAUACCGCAUAAGAAAGUGAAGGGAAAGCAGCAAUGCGCUGGAAGAGGAGCCCGCGGCCGAUUAGCUAGUUGGUGGGGUAAGGGCCUACCAAGGCGAUGAUCGGUAGCCGGCCUGAGAGGGCACACGGCCACACUGGCACUGAAACACGGGCCAGACUCCUACGGGAGGCAGCAGUGGG
RNAcentral lists this ribosomal RNA (256 nucleotides) under uncultured Acidobacteriota bacterium. RNAcentral describes it as "uncultured Acidobacteria bacterium partial 16S ribosomal RNA". It matches the Rfam family "Bacterial small subunit ribosomal RNA", at positions 88 to 358 of the family's 1533-position model. Lineage: Bacteria; Pseudomonadati; Acidobacteriota. The record is from RNAcentral.